GGUGAACGCUGGCGGUAGGCCUAACACAUGCAAGUCGAACGGCAGCACAGAGGAGCUUGCUCCUUGGGUGGCGAGUGGCGGACGGGUGAGGAAUACAUCGGAAUCUACUCUGUCGUGGGGGAUAACGUAGGGAAACUUACGCUAAUACCGCAUACGACCUACGGGUGAAAGCAGGGGAUCUUCGGACCUUGCGCGAUAGAAUGAGCCGAUGUCGGAUUAGCUAGUUGGCGGGGUAAAGGCCCACCAAGGCGACGAUCCGUAGCUGGUCUGAGAGGAUGAUCAGCCACACUGGAACUGAGACACGGUCCAGACUCCUACGGGAGGCAGCAGUGGGGAAUAUUGGACAAUGGGCGCAAGCCUGAUCCAGCCAUACCGCGUGGGUGAAGAAGGCCUUCGGGUUGUAAAGCCCUUUUGUUGGGAAAGAAAUCCAUCUGGUUAAUACCCGGGUGGGAUGACGGUACCCAAAGAAUAAGCACCGGCUAACUUCGUGCCAGCCGCCGCAGUAA
Molecule: ribosomal RNA, 506 nt
Filed under: uncultured bacterium
Lineage: Bacteria
Description: partial 16S ribosomal RNA
Rfam family: Bacterial small subunit ribosomal RNA
Source: RNAcentral